This 142-nucleotide unclassified non-coding RNA is filed under the name uncultured fungus. RNAcentral's name for it is "sequence contains ITS1". Lineage: Eukaryota; Fungi. The record is from RNAcentral.
UUACUUUCUCGUUUUACCAACCCUUUCUCGACUGCGUCGAAGAAAAACGACAGUUCACAAAGUGCUAUAAGAUUCGGAAUCCGAACGCUCUCGCGCUCUCGGAAUCUCUCUAAUGAUCCUUCCGCAGGUUCACCUACGGAAA